RNAcentral lists this long non-coding RNA (2133 nucleotides) under Daphnia pulicaria. Its description in RNAcentral is "uncharacterized LOC124342504, transcript variant X1". The record is from RNAcentral. Lineage: Eukaryota; Metazoa; Arthropoda; Branchiopoda; Diplostraca; Daphniidae.
UUCAAAUAAAACGGGGAACAAAAAUUGGAACUGAUGAAGGAACUCGAUGGAAAGCAAGACUUUCAAGAGCAUACUUUAGACACUUUUGAAGUAUUUGAAGAAUUCUCAAACCUUGAUUCUGAUGAUUCAAAAUACAGUCUGAAAGCUUGAGGAAGAAAAUAUUGAAUUUGCUAAAAAAGCGAAACUUGAUGCCAUGAACUUCACUUACUUCGAUGGCCAGGAUCAACUGAGUGAAGAUGGUGGUGAUGGUGAUGAUGGUGAUUUUGAUUCUUCGGGCGAUGAAGAUUACGGAGACGAUGGAACAUCCAAUGAAAACAGUCUGUGCAGCAGCAUGUCCAACUGCCCAGUUUUGUUCACGACUUAAAACACAUUUGAUUACUGUAGCGUUUAAAGAUGAAAUUGAAAACCGUGCUCGUCGGGAAAAGCGCCUUUGAACAUAUUUAUGGAAAAGGUGCUAUAGAAGUUUAAUACAUUAUUAUUAUUUAUUAUUAUUCUUUGUGCCCUCCCCCCCCCUGGUGUUAAGGUAAUACUCUGGAGGGGGUCGGGCCUGUCUGUCUAAAAUCAUAUCUCGAACAAGUCAGUCGAAAUACAAUCAGCGUCACAGUCUCCAUACUAGUGUCAUCUUUAUUCUUUACAUCUUAAAUUCGGUAAGGUAUAUUAAGACACGAUUCCUUCCGAACAUGGUCCUUCGAAACCUUCUUUUGAACCGGUAUAUUUUGUGAAUCUGAUUGAAACAAGAACGCUCGAGAACGCCUUUCGGCAAAGCGUUCAUUUCACAAGUUUCAAUCAUCCCCUUGAAAGCUCUUUAAAAAUGGUUUUAUCAGUUAAGCAAUGGUACCUAAUCAAAGAAUGUGUGGAGAAAAACCCAUUGUCCAGGGUGGCUACGUUAUGGAACAUUCGAAUGCACGCUAAAAGUUUAAAUCAACAGCAAUCGGUCGAUAGAGAAAUGUUGAGUGAACUGAAUUUAUCAUCCUCUCCAACUUAUGGAUUCUCUUCAGACAUUAUUCACAACCCAGAUCUCUACGAAGAAGUACAUGACCUGAGCUUGACCGACCCAGGAUAGGAUGACAACUUUGGACCAACCAACCCAAGGUUGAACAAGAUCUACAGACAGAGAAUUUUGGAUCCCUCCAUGCCGGAAGAAUAUAGAAGAAAAAUGGAUGUGUUGAGCUCUAUUCACCCAAGAUUGAUCACUGUGGAAGAAAUCGCUCCACAAGUGAUCAAUGGAGUCCUUCACUAUGAGAAAGCUUACAAUGUCUCAAUAACUAAAGAAGAAUUUGCUAUCGAAAUCGAAUUUGUCAACGUAAAGGGGAUUCAAUCUUGGAAACUGAUCCAAGAAAUGCCACAAGCAAAUAAAAGGAGACGCCUACAAACCAUCUAAAGCGAAAACAGCCCAACAUUGAAGCACCAAAAAUUGUUCCCAUUCGAUUGUAAAUCAAAUUAAAAAACUGUAUGUACUUACAUCUCAUGUAUAUAGUUUUAGGAUGCAGUAAACUCGUAGAAAUUACAAACCUUUUUACCGCAUAACUUAUUUUGACAAUAUUUUGCUAACUCUUCACAGACAUCACUUUGAAAUACAUUCAACAUGGAUCAUCACAAAAUAAAUUUCUACCUUUGUCAAUUGUAAGUAUUUUAGUAACCUAACAUGCUUAAAGGAAGCUAAAUUUAGAUUAAAUUUUAAGGUUUGGACACCUCCACCAAUCUAUAACCACCCCAGUGUGCCCUGGUAAGUAAAACUUAAAUCUAAUGAGAAAAAAUAAUUUCAUAACCCAAUGUUUUAAUUCUAUUUAGAAUUGGGAGAGGAGGAAUUAGUUGAUGAUAGAUCUGUCGAUUUUGAUUACCCUGAUGGAGCUGAUAUGGAGUACGAGGGAGACCAACCCCAAUUUGAUGACUUUGACAUAAUUGGUAACUAAAAUUGUUAUAGCUUUAAUUUAAAAAACUAAUUCAUACCUUUACAGAUGAAAACGAAGAAAUGGAGGAGACUGGGGAGAGUGGUAGUGAUGAUUCAGGCGAAGAACCUGCUGAAAGUUCAUCAGGUAAGAAUGAUGAGGGUAGCCUAAGCGAAAAGAGAAAGUUUUAAUUAAUUCAAUUUCAAUUUUAGAGAACGAAGGGCAGCCUGAAGCAAAACGCAUG